Molecule: ribosomal RNA, 484 nt
Filed under: uncultured bacterium
Lineage: Bacteria
Description: partial 16S ribosomal RNA
Rfam family: Bacterial small subunit ribosomal RNA
Source: RNAcentral
AUUGAACGCUGGCGGCAUGCUUUACACAUGCAAGUCGAACGGCAGCGCGGGCUUCGGCCUGGCGGCGAGUGGCGAACGGGUGAGUAAUGCAUCGGAACGUGCCCAGUCGUGGGGGCUAGCCCGGCGAAAGCCGGAUUAAUACCGCAUACGACCUGAGGGUGAACGCGGGGGACCGAAAGGCCUCGCGCUAUUGGAGCGGCCGAUGUCGGAUUAGCUAGUUGGUGGGGUAAAGGCUUACCAAGGCGACGAUCCGUAGCUGGUCUGAGAGGACGACCAGCCACACUGGGACUGAGACACGGCCCAGACUCCUACGGGAGGCAGCAGUGGGGAAUUUUGGACAAUGGGGGCAACCCUGAUCCAGCCAUGCCGCGUGCGGGAAGAAGGCCUUCGGGUUGUAAACCGCUUUUGUUCGGGAAGAAAUCCUCUGGGCUAAUACCCCGGGGGGAUGACGGUACCGGAAGAAUAAGCACCGGCUAACUACGUG